AUUGAACGCUGGCGGCAGGCUUAACACAUGCAAGUCGAACGAGUGGCGGACGGGUGAGUAAUGCUUGGGAAUCUAGCUUAUGGAGGGGGAUAACUACGGGAAACUGUAGCUAAUACCGCGUACCAUAGGAUGAGCCCAAGUGGGAUUAGGUAGUUGGUGAGGUAAAGGCUCACCAAGCCGACGAUCUCUAGCUGGUCUGAGAGGAUGACCAGCCACACUGGGACUGAGACACGGCCCAGACUCCUACGGGAGGCAGCAGUGGGGAAUAUUGCGCAAUGGGGGCAACCUGACGCAGCCAUGCCGCGUGAAUGAAGAAGGCCUUCGGGUUGUAAAGUUCUUUAAGCGAGGAGGCGUUACUCGCAGAAUAAGCACCGGCUAACUCUGUGCCAGCAGCCGCGGUAAUUC
This 405-nucleotide ribosomal RNA is filed under the name uncultured bacterium. Its description in RNAcentral is "partial 16S ribosomal RNA". It matches the Rfam family "Bacterial small subunit ribosomal RNA", at positions 30 to 526 of the family's 1533-position model. The record is from RNAcentral.